This is a non-coding RNA of Monodelphis domestica (gray short-tailed opossum), 8979 nucleotides long. NCBI's taxonomy places the organism in Eukaryota, Metazoa, Chordata, Mammalia, Didelphimorphia, Didelphidae. The record is from RefSeq and is a predicted model, not a curated record.
GAGAGAAGGGCAUGUAGCUCAGACCAGAAACCUCUCAUCUAAGUACUGGGAGCUCCAAACUCCGGCCUGCUUCUGUCUAGAAGAAGGAACUGAGCCCCAAGGAAGGAAAGACAUUCGCUCAAGCCCCCAUAAAUAGUAAGUAGCAGAGCUGCCAUCUGAAUCCAAGUUCUCAGUAUACAAGUCCAGGACUUUUUCUCUGCUUCUUCCAAAUUGGGACAUGAAGCAGGGGUUUAGGAGCUGGAGCUGGUAUGGAGUUAGGGAGAAGUAAAAGGAGAAUGAAAUAAGUGACUUAUUUCCAGAAUAAGAUUUAUUUUUUCUAAAACCCCUUACCUUCUGUAUUAGAAUUAAUGCUAAGUAUUGGUUCUAAGGCAGAAGAGUGUGAAGGGUGAGGCAAGGGGGGUUAAGUGACUUGCUAGGAAGUGUCUGUGGCUAGAUUUGAAGCCUGGACCUCCCAUCUCCAUGUCUAACUCUCUAUCCAUUGAGCCACUUAGCUGCUCCCUCCACAAUAAGGUUUUGACUGAGAUGGGAAAGAAAUAUACAUCUCAGCUAGUCUUAAGAGUCUCAUCUUUGUCUUUGACAUGGUGUUGCCUUAUACUUGGCCUCACUGGACUCCCUGACUCUGGCCUCUCCCUUUCUAACCUUCUGAUCUUUCAACAAAUCUAUCAGACUCAGCCAAAGCAUAAUGAAUUACUGUUUGUCUGGUCCUUUUCCCAGAGUUCACUUUUAUUCCAUAUCAGUUGAGUCUGAAUUAGCUUUCCCUUACUUUUAUGAAUAGGAAAAUGGCCGUGACAUUAGCAAAGUAAACUGAAGAGAUUUAACAAGAAUAUCAUUUUCAAAAAGACAUGAUCAUCCAAAAGGCAGUAAAAUAAAAUUGUAAGCAAAUAGCUGUAAGGGUAAAUACUAGAUAAGGCCAUUUUCCCAUAGGUGUUUGCAUAGAUGGUAUAGUUUUAAGGAGUCAUCCAUCUGUGAUAGAGUAAAUUUAAAUUAAGAACUAGAACAAUAGAUUAAUAGAUUUAUUUCCACAGACUACUCAACAAUCCUGCAUAGCUUUUUUUUUUUAAAAAACCACUACCUUUUUGAUGCAGAAAUUGCACUAGUAGGGCUUAAUCUCCAAAGAAAUCAAAGAUAGAAGGAAAGGACCCAUAUACAUGAAAAUAUUGGUAGCUGUACUUUACUGUGAACAUAAAAAACUGGAAACAAAGUGGAUAUUCAUUUACUGAGGCAAGACCAAACAAAGUGUAACAUGUGGCUGUAGUGUAAUAUUAUUCUACUAUUAGAAAUGACAAUAUGAGGAAUUCAGAGAAAAAAAGAAUCUUAUAUAGACUCAUAAAUGAUGUAGAACAUUGUUUACACUCAAACAGUCACCGCCUUGAUUGGUUUUCCUCUGUUACAUAGUUACUGAGUAGACUUGGAUUGACUUCAUAUCAGAAAGUAGUUGGUAUAGAAAACCAAAAAGUAUCAAUAAAAAUUUUACUCCUUAAAAAAAAAGUUCUAGGGGGUUCUGUGGACAGAGAUAUACCCUGGAUACAGGAACUCCUGGGUUCAAAAUUGGCCUCGAACACUUAGAUGUGUGACCUGGGGAAAGCCACAACCCCCAUAUUGUUCUUCUGCCUUGGAAUCAAUAUUUAUUCCAAAAUGGAAGAUAGGGAUAAUUUAGUGAAUUUUCUCAUAUAAUUCCAUUUUUCCCCCAGAAUGUCUGGACCAAUUGGACACAUUUUCACAAACAAUUUCCUAGUGGGUCUGUCUUCCCGGGACUAUAGCACCACCAAUUAUCAGAACUUCACAAAAAAAAAAAAUAGUAUGCUUCUCUUUGCCAUUUCAUAUUUUUCUUUUCCCUAUUUCAGUUCUCCUUCCAUGUUAGGAGAUAUGAUUUGAAUAAAUGCUGAAAGGGAACCUUUGACCCCUUAUGAAAAAUUGCCUAUUGAUGAGCCAGUGGCACUUGAAUAGGCUUUUGCUUCAGUAGGAGCUGUUUGCCAGUAGAUGGUGCUAACAAAAAAUAACAAAGUCAAAAGAUGAGACCUUCAUUUGGGAUUUUGCCUACAUACUUUGUGGCCAAAAUAAACAUAGGAUUGCAUAACUAGAGUUAGAAGAACCGUGGAGACUAUUCCAACUGUCUAAUUUUACAGCACCCAGACCCCAUAAAAGCAACAGUUCUCAUCUCAGUGAGGUGCUAAUGAGCAUGCCUUUUCACAGAAAGAUAUAAUCAAAUCUCUAUCUUUUGAUUGUCCCAUCUUUUAGCUUUUGGGGAGAGAUAAGCCUGGGUCAAACUAUCAAACAUGACUUUAGAGACUAGAUCUAGUCUGUCCUUUCCUCUUAUUCCUAUCCUUCACCCUAUUUCACAUAUGGAAAAACUGAGGGACAGACAUGUUAAAUGACUUACCCAAAGUCACUUAGCUGGUAGAAAUAGGACUAGAUCUCAAGUCUCUAGACUUCUAGCUCAGAGUUCUUUGAACUACCUGUCUGAUCUUCCCUUUCUUCAGAAUGUCACACUUGAAGGAUCGGUUAUUUCAGUUCAAGUCUUGGCUCUGCCAAAUUGUUGUGAAAGUCACAUUUCCUCUUGGGACCUCACUUUUUUCAUCUGUACAAUUGAUAAACUCAAUAAACUCUCAGGUUCCUUUCAUCUCUUAUAGUCUAAACCCACUAUUAGAGGUCAGCUAAGUGGCAUAUUGGAUAUAGUACCCAGGUCUGGAAGUCAGGAAGACUUAAGUUCAAAUGCAGCCUUAGAUACUUACCAGCUUUGACCCUUGGUAAGUCCCUUAACCUCUACUUGCCUCACUCUCCUCUUCUAUAAAACAAAGAUAUGUCAUAAUGAAUGGUUUUCUAUGAAGGAUGAUUUGUAAAUACAUUUACUUACACUGCUAACACCUAAAUUUAUGGAAUUUGUGUCUUGCUGCAUCCCAGACUCUUUUCAUUGUCAGUCAUUUUGACUUUUGUCUUGCCACUGGAUUUCAUGACUCAGGAAGACAGAAUGAGGCUGAUGAUUGCAACUGGGACUUUCUUGAAUCCGGUUCACAUGUCAGUCAAGACAUGGUUCUCUUAAAAAAUGAAGGACAAACAACAAUAAAACAAGAAUAAUAAUUGCCUCUACCUCCCAGGAUUAUCACGAGAAUCAUAAAAAACCUGGAAAGACUUAUAUGAAGUGAUUCAAAGUAAAGUGAGCAAAACUAGGAGAAUACUGUACAUAGUAACAACAAUAAUGUAUGAUGAUCAGCUGUGAAUGAGGUAACUAUGAACAGUAAUGCUUAUUCCAAUGAAUUCAUCAUGAAAAAAGAAGUGGAGUUGAAUGCUGAUUGAAGCAUAUAAUUCUUUACUUCCUUCAUAUAUUUUUCCUUAGUAUAAGAGAUAUAUGUCUUCUUUCACAACAUGACAAUCAUAGAAAUAUGCAUCGCAUGAUAGCACAUGUACAAUCUAUAUUACCUGCCAUCUCAGAGAGGGAGGGAAGGUGGGAAGGAGGGAAUAUCAUUCUUAAAAUGUCAGAAACUGAUUAUUAAAAUUGUAUUGGCAUCUGGAAAAAAUAAUUUAAAACAGAUUUCCUUUCUAUGCCUUCUUACUAAACCUUUUUCCGAGUUCCAAACCUGGCUCUGCACAUAGGGAAAAAACCCUACUCAUUAGUAGUCAAACCACUUAGAUCCUGCCAGAAUGAUAAGACUUGCUUGGUCCUGUUUAAUCAGAGACUUGCCAGCAAUAACUAUCCCCAAGGGUUCCAAGGAGAGGGUGGGGGUCAGCUACGAAGCAAUGGAAUAUAACUUCUCAAUUGCUUUUGUAAACCAGGUCAUUGGGCACUCACUUUAGGAAAGUCCCCACUUACAAGUAAGUCUUACCUAAUACCUCUUAACUCUAGACUUUUCCUCUUUUUUUCCCUACUUAUCCUGAAAAUUGCUCAUUUUUUAUGUGUUUGUUUACAUGCUGCUUCCCCUUUAGAUUGUAAGGUCCUUGAGGGGAGGAACUGUCUUUUGCCCUUUUUUUCUUUUUUGGCACCUCCAGCACUUAGAACAGCACCUGCUGCAUAUAAAUGUUUAUUGUUUGAUUGUUUAUUUUAUGGCCUCCUUUAUUCUACUCCAGACCUUACAUCCAGAAAAGACUGAUCUUGGCAGUCUCUGCUUCUCUGGUCCUGGUUAUAUGACCCUAUAGUUAAAACUUCCUGAUUCAUCUUCCAAACCACGUAUAUAUCUAGAGAACCAAGCUGCUCUCAAAGGCUUGGCUGGAAUACAGAUUGUAGGAAGCCAGCAUCUUGAGAGCUGAAUCAACAGAAGUCCUUUGUGAUUCUUUGAGAAUGACAAUUUUUUUAAAAUUUUAAUAACAAAUUUCCACAUGAGUACUGAAGUUAUGUAAUCCAAAUUAUCUUCCUCCCUUCUUUCCUUUCCCCUCCCAGAGCUGGUAAGCAAUUCACUCUGGGUUAUACAUGUAUUAUCAUACAAAAAAAGGUUUCCAUAUUAUUCAUUUUUGUAAGUGAAUAAUCUUAUGAAACCAAAAUCUCAAAAUAUACCCAAUCAAACAAGUGAUAACUCAUAUGUUUUCAUCUGCAUUUCUAUUCCAACAGUUCUUUCUCUGGAGAUGGAUAGCAUUCUUUGUCAUAAAUCCCUCAGAAUUGUCCCAGAUCAUUUGUUAGUAGCAAAGUCUAUCACAUUUGAUUGUUCCACAAUAUUGCUGUUACUGUUAUUACUGUGUAUAAUGUUCUCCUGGUUCUGCUUAUUUCACUCUGCAUCAGUUCAUGUAAGUCUAUCUGAAAUCAUCCUGUUCAUCAAUUCCUUGUGGCACAAUAAUAUUCCAUCACUAUCACAUACCACAAUUUGUUCAUCUAUUCCCCAAUUAAGGACUUUCACCACAUAGAAAGCAGCUAUAAAUAUUUUUCUACAAAAAGAUGCUUUCCCUUUUUUUUUUAUUUAUUUGGGAUAGAGACCUAGUAGUAGUAAUGCUAGUUCAAAGGGUAUGCAUUGUUUUAUAGCCAUUUGGGCAUCAUUCCAAGCUGCUCUCCAGAAUGGUUGGAUUGGUUCACAACUCCACCAGCAAUGCAUUAGUGUCCCAAUUUUGCCACAUCCCUUCCCAACAUUUAUCAUUUUUCUUUACUAUUAUAUUGGCCAAUCUGAUAGGUGUGAGGUGGUACUUCAGAGUUGUUUUAAUUUGCAUUUUGAGAAUGAUUUUUGUUUGUAGCACAGCUCAUUUCUAAAACAAAAUGGAGUCUCAAUGUCUUGCCUCAGAACAGAACCAUAUUAUUUAGAAGUAAGAACAUGACUGGAUGGGGCAAAGGAGUGAGGAUGAGAGAAAGUCAUGUCCUUCUGAAAGUGGGUAAAUUCCUCAAUGCUAGGCAGAGCAGACCUGGCUCUAGGAAGAGGCCAUAUAGGCCUGAGGAGAUAAGUAUGAACAAAAAAUCUUUGCCUUGCUAUCCUACACAAGCAUUAACAUUUUGGGCCUCUCUGACUGAGUUAUCCUCCUUAUAAAUUUUGUGAGUCUCAUCCAAGUAGGGGUUGAGACCUGGAUGGCACCUCUGACCCAGAACAAACUGGAGCUUAGGUGGUUAAAGCAAUAAGAAGCUAAAAAUCCAUCCUUACCCUUAGGCCAUGAAGAGCCAAUUUCCCAGACUUACCUCCUCUGGGUUCCUAGGUUGUCAGAUCUAACUUGCUCCCAAAUCAACAGUUCCUGAAUAUGCCUUAGAGGCAGUCAGGUGGGGUGAGAAGGCAAGGCAGUUCUGCUGAGGCUGAGGAAUGUGCUCUGAUUAGGAAAGAAGUCAAAUAUUCCAGACCUGUUGUCAGGAGGCAGGAUCUUGGCCGAUGCUCAGCUGAUUCAAACCAACAAGUCUUUCCUGAAUGAUUACUGUGUGCCCAAGCUUGUGUUUGACUAGGCUGUAAGGUAAAGGGGACAUAGUCCUUGUCCUUGUUCAUAGUCUGGGAGAAGACAGAGGGAGAACAGACCUGAGCUGUGGCCCUGGGGGAGUUGAGAGUCUGGGACUGGGACAGCAAAAACUCAGGGACCUCACAGCCUACUAUCAACAAAAGAGCAGGUCCAGCUAAUUUCUGGGGUGCAACUCCAGGCUUAGUUUGAAUCUGUGUUUGACCCCUCAGGAACAAGGCACACAUAGGCUGACUAGGGACAGGUCUGUCUGUAAGGCCAUGCCAUCUCAGAGGAGCUCAGAGAAGAGGAGGACCAGCAGGGACUGGAGUAGUCAGGGGAGACUUCCCUUAGAUAUGGGAUCUGAGCUAACCUUAAAGGGAUAGAAUAGCAUGGUGUCUUGAAUGAGAAGUGUGUGGGGUCUUGAUAUAGCAAGAUGUACCCCCUUGAGUCACUCAAAUAAUCAAGAGAGGCCAGGAUAAGAGGCAGACAGAUGUGGCUUUGUUGCAGAGGAUGGGGAUAUUAUGCUUAAAUCAGAGACUGGAAGAUACACAAACAAACUUCCAAUUUAUAGGUAACUAAUACAAUACUCUCCUCCUGUGCAAAAUAGUACGAAUUGAAGGUUUAUGUGAAAGCCUGGGAGGGGGGAAAAGGAAAAAGGAGAGCAAAGCUGUAUCUAAUUAAGCUAAUGAUUUAAACCUAACCUCUUCUUAGAGUUUCAGAAUCGAAUAUUGUUACUACUGCUAACCCAAAAUAAAUUGAGAAUAAUACUCACUUUCACUCCAUACCAUCAGACCUACGGAAAUGAAAAAAACAGAUCCCAAAUCUCUUUCUCCUGAGUCCACAAAUAGACAAAUAGAUUAAUCUUUUAAGUGUACUGUUCCCAGAGGGGCAGUUAGGUCAGUGCAGUGAAUGGAGAACUGGGCCUGGAGUUCAAAUCCAGAUUCAGAUUUAAUAGCUGUGACCCCAGGUAAAUUACUUAACUUCAGUUGGUCUCAGUUUCCUCAUCUGUAAAAUGAGUUGUGCCUAGUCUACCUCCCAGGACUAUUGUGAUGAUAAAAUGAGAUAAUGACUGUAAAGCACUUAGCACAAUGCCUGGCACAGAGUAAGUGCUAUAUAAAUAUUAGCUUUUAUUAUUAUUAUUAUGACAGAGGCCACUGUCAAAAUAUACAUUACCCAAGAAGGGCACUGACUGAUUUUAAUAUUAGUUGUGAUUAAGGAACUGAGAGAAGGAAUAGAUGUUGGAGGGGAGGAGAAAAAAGAGGAGGGAUAAGAGGGGAUCCUAGUGGAUCCUGGCAAGGAGGAGAAUACUAGGAGAGGAUACCACAAAAGCAAACCUUUCAUGAACUUUACAACUUGUACAUACUUUCUUUAAAAACAACCACAACAAGCACAACCUUUACCUUCCUUCUUAGAAGCAAUGCAGUAUAUUGGUUCCAGGCAGAAGAGCAAUAAGGGCUAGGCACUGGGGGUUAAGUGAUUUAGCCAGGAUCGCCCAGCUAGGAAGUAUCUGAAGUCAAAUUUGAACCUAGGACCCUCCUGACUGGGCCUAGCUCUCAAUCUACCUAGCUGCCCCCUUGGAUAUACUUUCUGAAGUAUUUUCCCCAGAUCUAUAAACCUUUGGAGAUGAGGCAGUCAAAGUAGACACAAAGCUAGUCAUAGAAAGGAAUAUCCCACCAUAGCACUGCUAACCUUUUAAAUCUAAGGACUGGCUGAAGCAGUUGAUUUUAUGCAUUUUCUGUAAAGUCAUUAUAGGAAUUUCCCAAUCGCACAAGGAGUACAGUUGCACUUCUGCAAAGGAGGGGGUGGGGAGGGGAAGAAGGGGAUAGUUUUCAUUCUCUUUCCUCAAGAGAAACUAAAACAUCGAAUGAAAGACUCUGCUGAGAUAGUUUCCUCGGCCAGAGGAGCCAAAGAAAACCGAGACCUGUAACAAGAUCAACUCCUGCUUUCCAUCAAGGAUUCUGAAACCCCAGAUGUAACUUUACCAGUAAGGAAAAGUCGUAUUUGGGACUUUUUUGGAUACAGCAAUUCCUCAAGAAAAAAAUAGGCUUAUUCCAAGGUCUCAGCUUCUCUUUACAUACAUGGAGAGAUCAAUGACUAUUCUUCAAAUAUCCCUCUAUCACCCUAACCAGGACAAAGGGGUCUUUGAAGAGAUCCCGCAUCACCUGCAGCUUGACACCACUCAUCUGAUCAUUGGGAGAGGCAGAAAUGCCCAUCUCAAAUUUAGACUUCCUGGCAUCUCUCGUCACCAUCUAUCCCUAGAGCCAUACCUGGAGAAGGGAAAUGUCUGCCUGACAUUCUGUUUGAAGAUCCUGAGCAGAAGCAGUAGUGUGUGGGUGAAUGGACUGACCCUGAAAUACCUGGAGCAAGUCCCAUUGACGGCAGUCAGCAAGGUCAUAUUUUCUGGAGUCCAGAUGGUAAUUGACAUUCAGGGCGGUGCUUCUAAAGGCAAGUUUGCCUGCUGUAUCCAUUUCAGCUGCUCACCUCUGAUUUACAGGGCAAAGGCAGAAGAGACAGAUGAGUUUGAAGCCAUCCAAGAGGACCCAGAGCUCCCACAAGAGAUGAGGGAGUUGAAUUAAAUUCCAGCAUUUGUGGAGUUUUGGCUUCAAUCUUUAGUAUCUUAGGACAACCAUUCCCCCUGCAGAGCAGGGCAAAGGAGGAGAAGCAGAAAUACAGGCCACAAGGGAGUUUUAGGACAGUAUGUUUAACUAGCCCACUGGGUGAAAACAACUCCCUUGCUGAUUACAAGAACUUAACAUAUUAAAGCAAGUUCCCUAGAGUCUAACAGCAUGGACUAAUUCUAGCAGGAAUAAAAAUGCCUUAAAUGGAAGGUAACUAUAUAACAUCAUAUAUUUUUAAAGGCCCUAUGGGGCCUCCAAGAUGGGGGAAACUAUGUGUAAGCAUGUCUUCAUGUAUGGCGUUUGGUUUUUUCCUCCCCCUAUAUCACUCUUUUGCUUAAAUGCAGGUUAUUUUAUGUUGUUAAUUUUGUGUUCUGUCUCCAGUGUGAUAGAUUUAAGGUUACUGAAGCAAUGUACCAACAUAUGUAGCAAUUAUGUUUGUGGUGUUAUGAAGUUACCUAUGGCUUUCAAAUCCUCAUAUGUACUUAAGGCUUAUGAAAGUCUGUAUUUAAUAAAAAUAUAUGUAUUUCAUUAA